Molecule: long non-coding RNA, 372 nt
Filed under: Solanum tuberosum (potato)
Lineage: Eukaryota; Viridiplantae; Streptophyta; Magnoliopsida; Solanales; Solanaceae
Description: long non-coding RNA (STUB_LNC007499)
Source: RNAcentral
AUUGUAGCUUUGUCCUAAAGUUGUAGUCAGUGGUAUUAGCUCCUUGUUGAGCUCAAUCUGACACAACUAAGGGAUGAAACAUACGAGGGUCGAAAUCAGGUAAAAUUAACAGUGAAAAUAGAAUAUGAAAGUGAGGGAGUGUCGCCACCUGACCUGAACGUCAAUUGAAUAUCGUUGAGUUGGAGAAGUCUUCGGUUGGGAUGAUUUCAUGAUGUUAGUGAGACUUGUUAACGUCUGAUAUGAAAUACACCCAUAGCUUGAUGUACCAAUUUAGUUGUUCCAGGUUCAUGGCGAUGGGAUAAAGCUUUCAAUUGCAAUGGGAACUGCAGCUAGGGCUAUUCUGGAGAAGAAGACCCGUCCCUUUCCCUUUCC